Molecule: long non-coding RNA, 248 nt
Organism: Patiria miniata (bat star)
Lineage: Eukaryota; Metazoa; Echinodermata; Asteroidea; Valvatida; Asterinidae
Exons: 2
Source: RefSeq, a predicted model, not a curated record
AUUUAGUUUUUCAAGUUUCAUCACUUUAUUCACUCUUUGUGGACCUUGAAAGACCCCAUUUUGAUUGUUAUCUCAAUCUACUCAAUCUACUAUCAGCAAUCACCACCAUGUUGUCAAGUGGCUUCAUUGUGUUUUGUGUGUGGUUCCUGGAUUGAUUGCGAAUACCAGUCACUUGGGAGUCCUUUUCUCAUAAGUUUGAGAACUAGUAGUCCGAAACUCCUCUGGGCACAAGUGAGCCCCGAGGCAGC